AUUGAACGCUGGCGGCAUGCCUUACACAUGCAAGUCGAACGGCAGCACGGGGCAACCUGGUGGCGAGUGGCGAACGGGUGAGUAAUGCAUCGGAACGUGCCAUUGAGUGGGGGAUAACGUAGCGAAAGUUGCGCUAAUACCGCAUAUUCUGUGAGCAGGAAAGCAGGGGACCGCAAGGCCUUGCGCUCUUUGAGCGGCCGAUGUCAGAUUAGCUAGUUGGUGAGGUAACGGCUUACCAAGGCGACGAUCUGUAGCGGGUCUGAGAGGAUGAUCCGCCACACUGGAACUGAGACACGGUCCAGACUCCUACGGGAGGCAGCAGUGGGGAAUUUUGGACAAUGGGCGCAAGCCUGAUCCAGCCAUGCCGCGUGAGUGAAGAAGGCCUUCGGUUGUAAGGUACUCUUUCGGUCCGGGAACGGAAAUACGG
RNAcentral lists this ribosomal RNA (427 nucleotides) under uncultured bacterium. Its description in RNAcentral is "bacterial SSU rRNA". It matches the Rfam family "Bacterial small subunit ribosomal RNA", at positions 30 to 457 of the family's 1533-position model. The record is from RNAcentral.